RNAcentral lists this ribosomal RNA (3006 nucleotides) under Avibacterium gallinarum. Its description in RNAcentral is "bacterial LSU rRNA". It matches the Rfam family "Bacterial large subunit ribosomal RNA". Lineage: Bacteria; Pseudomonadati; Pseudomonadota; Gammaproteobacteria; Pasteurellales; Pasteurellaceae. The record is from RNAcentral.
UUAAGUGAGAAAGCGUACAGGGCGGAUGCCUUGGCAAUCAGAGGCGAAGAAGGACGUGCUAAUCUGCGAAAAGCGUGGGUGAGUUGAUAAGAAGCGUUUAACCCACGAUGUCCGAAUGGGGAAACCCGAUAGGCGAAGAGCCUAUCAUUGCGAGGUGAAUAAAAUAGCCUCGUAAGGCGAACCGGGAGAACUGAAACAUCUAAGUACCCCGAGGAAAAGAAAUCAACCGAGAUUCUGUGAGUAGCGGCGAGCGAAAGCGGAGUAGCCAGUAAGUGAUAGCAUGUGAUUUAGGAGAAUUAGCUGGGAAGCUAAGCGACACAGGGUGAUAGCCCCGUAUCUGAAAGAUUGCAUGUGGUACUAAGCUUACGAUAAGUAGGGCGGGACACGAGGAAUCCUGUUUGAAGAUGGGGGGACCAUCCUCCAAGGCUAAAUACUCCUGAUUGACCGAUAGUGAACCAGUACUGUGAAGGAAAGGCGAAAAGAACCCCGGUGAGGGGAGUGAAAUAGAACCUGAAACCCUGUACGUACAAGCAGUGGGAGCCCCAUCAUUAAGCCAAAGGCUCGAUGAUGAGUAGCGCACCUUUUGUUGGAAGUGCGGUUGACUUCACGCAGUGAAGUCUAACCCGAGAAAAUCAAACAGAGGGGGCUUAAUGAUGGGGUGACUGCGUACCUUUUGUAUAAUGGGUCAGCGACUUAUAUUUUGUAGCGAGGUUAACUGAAUAAGGGAGCCGAAGGGAAACCGAGUCUUAACUGGGCGGUUAGUUGCAAGGUAUAGACCCGAAACCCGGUGAUCUAGCCAUGGGCAGGUUGAAGGUUGGGUAACACUAACUGGAGGACCGAACCGACUAAUGUUGAAAAAUUAGCGGAUGACCUGUGGCUGGGGGUGAAAGGCCAAUCAAACCGGGAGAUAGCUGGUUCUCCCCGAAAUCUAUUUAGGUAGAGCCUUGUGUGAAUACCUUUGGGGGUAGAGCACUGUUUCGGCUAGGGGCCCAUCCCGGGUUACCAAACCGAUGCAAACUCCGAAUACCAAAGAGUAAUGCACAGGAGACACACGGCGGGUGCUAACGUCCGUCGUGGAGAGGGAAACAACCCAGACCGCCAGCUAAGGUCCCAAAAUCUAUAUUAAGUGGGAAACGAAGUGGGAAGGCUUAGACAGCUAGGAUGUUGGCUUAGAAGCAGCCACCAUUUAAAGAAAGCGUAAUAGCUCACUAGUCGAGUCGGCCUGCGCGGAAGAUGUAACGGGGCUAAAAUAUAGUACCGAAGCUGCGGCAUCAGUAGCGAUACUGUUGGGUAGGGGAGCGUUGUGUAAGCGGAAGAAGGUGAUUUGAGAGGAUUGCUGGACGUAUCACAAGUGCGAAUGCUGACAUAAGUAACGAUAAAACGGGUGAAAAACCCGUUCGCCGGAAGACCAAGGGUUCCUGUCCAACGUUAAUCGGGGCAGGGUGAGUCGGCCCCUAAGGCGAGGCUGAAAAGCGUAGUCGAUGGGAAACGGGUUAAUAUUCCCGUACUUGGAUAAACUGCGAUGUGGGGACGGAGUAGGUUAGGUUAGCGUACUGUUGGAGAUGUACGUUUAAGUUGGUAGGUGGGUGGACUAGGCAAAUCCGGUUCACUGUAAACACUGAGAGAUGAUGACGAGGCACUAAGGUGCUGAAGUAAUUGAUACCACACUUCCAGGAAAAGCCACUAAGCUUCAGGUUUAUCUAAACCGUACUGAAAACCGACACAGGUGGUCAGGUAGAGAAUACUCAGGCGCUUGAGAGAACUCGGGUGAAGGAACUAGGCAAAAUAGCACCGUAACUUCGGGAGAAGGUGCGCUGGCGUAGUGUGAAGUUCUUUACGGAUGGAGCAUGAACCAGUCGAAGAUACCAGCUGGCUGCAACUGUUUAUUAAAAACACAGCACUCUGCAAACACGAAAGUGGACGUAUAGGGUGUGAUGCCUGCCCUGUGCUGGAAGGUUAAUUGAUGGUGUAAUCGAAAGAGAAGCUCCUGAUCGAAGCCCCAGUAAACGGCGGCCGUAACUAUAACGGUCCUAAGGUAGCGAAAUUCCUUGUCGGGUAAGUUCCGACCUGCACGAAUGGCAUAAUGAUGGCCAGGCUGUCUCCACCCGAGACUCAGUGAAAUUGAAAUCGCCGUGAAGAUGCGGUGUACCCGCGGCUAGACGGAAAGACCCCGUGAACCUUUACUAUAGCUUGACACUGAACCUUGAAUUUUGAUGUGUAGGAUAGGUGGGAGACUAUGAAGCGGUAACGCCAGUUAUCGUGGAGUCGUUGUUGAAAUACCACCCUUUAACGUUUGAUGUUCUAACGAAGCGCCUGAAACGGGUGUUCGGACAGUGUCUGGUGGGUAGUUUGACUGGGGCGGUCUCCUCCCAAAGUGUAACGGAGGAGCACGAAGGUUUGCUAAUGACGGUCGGACAUCGUCAGGUUAGUGCAAUGGUAUAAGCAAGCUUAACUGCGAGACAGACAAGUCGAGCAGGUGCGAAAGCAGGUCAUAGUGAUCCGGUGGUUCUGAAUGGAAGGGCCAUCGCUCAACGGAUAAAAGGUACUCCGGGGAUAACAGGCUGAUACCGCCCAAGAGUUCAUAUCGACGGCGGUGUUUGGCACCUCGAUGUCGGCUCAUCACAUCCUGGGGCUGAAGUAGGUCCCAAGGGUAUGGCUGUUCGCCAUUUAAAGUGGUACGCGAGCUGGGUUUAGAACGUCGUGAGACAGUUCGGUCCCUAUCUGCCGUGGGCGUUGGAGAAUUGAGAGGGGCUGCUCCUAGUACGAGAGGACCGGAGUGGACGCAUCACUGGUGUACCAGUUGUCUCGCCAGAGGCACUGCUGGGUAGCUAAAUGCGGAAGAGAUAAGUGCUGAAAGCAUCUAAGCACGAAACUUGCCUUAAGAUGAGUUCUCCCAGUCUAUAAGACUGUAAGGGUUGUUGGAGACGACGACGUAGAUAGGCUGGGUGUGUAAGCGGUGUGAGCCGUUGAGCUAACCAGUACUAAUUGCCCGAGGGGCUUAACUAU